GACGAACGCUGGCGGCGUGCUUAACACAUGCAAGUCGAACGGAAAGGCCCUGCUUUUGUGGGGUGCUCGAGUGGCGAACGGGUGAGUAACACGUGAGUAACCUGCCCUUGACUUUGGGAUAACUUCAGGAAACUGGGGCUAAUACCGGAUAGGAGCUCCUGCUGCAUGGUGGGGGUUGGAAAGUUUCGGCGGUUGGGGAUGGACUCGCGGCUUAUCAGCUUGUUGGUGGGGUAGUGGCUUACCAAGGCUUUGACGGGUAGCCGGCCUGAGAGGGUGACCGGCCACAUUGGGACUGGGAUACGGCCCAGACUCCUACGGGGGGCAGCAGUGGGGAAUAUUGCACAAUGGGCGGAAGCCUGAUGCGGCAACGCCGCGUGCGGAAUGACGGCCUUCGGGUUGUAAACCGCUUUCGCCUGUGACGAGGCGUGGGUGACGGUAAUGGGUAAAGAAGCACCGGCUAACUACGU
This 467-nucleotide ribosomal RNA is filed under the name uncultured bacterium. Its description in RNAcentral is "partial 16S ribosomal RNA". It matches the Rfam family "Bacterial small subunit ribosomal RNA", at positions 28 to 506 of the family's 1533-position model. The record is from RNAcentral.